RNAcentral lists this ribosomal RNA (134 nucleotides) under uncultured eukaryote. RNAcentral describes it as "partial small subunit ribosomal RNA". It matches the Rfam family "Eukaryotic small subunit ribosomal RNA", at positions 1651 to 1784 of the family's 1831-position model. The record is from RNAcentral.
CCCUGCCAUUUGUACACACCGCCCGUCGCACCUACCGAUUGAAUGAUUCGGUGAAAAUUUCGGACUACAGCAUUAACACUUUCGGGUGAUUAUGCCGUGGGAAGUUAUUUAAACCUCAUCAUUUAGAGGAAGGU